RNAcentral lists this ribosomal RNA (354 nucleotides) under Triticum aestivum (bread wheat). RNAcentral describes it as "partial small subunit ribosomal RNA". Lineage: Eukaryota; Viridiplantae; Streptophyta; Magnoliopsida; Poales; Poaceae. The record is from RNAcentral.
AUGUACGCAGUAGACAGAUGGCGGGAGUGCAGGAAGGAGCUGAAGAAGAUGGAGGCUCUCGCACAUGAGAGCACAAACAUGGCGGAGGACUUGCAAGUUUGCAAAAAUCGCAUGCUUAGUGAAUUGAGAAAUGCAGUAGGCGUAGUACGAUUAGUGGCCAAUGAUGGUGAGCGUGCACGGAUGCCGGAUCAGAGCAAACCAUAUAUUUUCCUGAGAUGGCCACAAUAUGAGAUGAAAUCACCAAUUCGGGUUCAGAGAGCCCAAUGGGGAUGUAUGAUGGGGCUAAUGCCACCAAAAACACCCAACCCACCACCAUGGGGGACGGAUAUGCCACAACCAGCACCGGUCGUAUGA